RNAcentral lists this ribosomal RNA (253 nucleotides) under uncultured bacterium. RNAcentral's name for it is "partial 16S ribosomal RNA". It matches the Rfam family "Bacterial small subunit ribosomal RNA", at positions 524 to 776 of the family's 1533-position model. The record is from RNAcentral.
UACGUAGGGCGCAAGCGUUGUCCGGAAUUAUUGGGCGUAAAGAGCUCGUAGGCGGUUUGUCGCGUCGGGAGUGAAAACCUACAGCUUAACUGUGGGCUUGCUUUCGAUACGGGCAGACUUGAGGCAUGCAGGGGAGAACGGAAUUCCUGGUGUAGCGGUGAAAUGCGCAGAUAUCAGGAGGAACACCGGUGGCGAAGGCGGUUCUCUGGGCAUUACCUGACGCUGAGGAGCGAAAGUGUGGGGAGCGAACAGG